Molecule: long non-coding RNA, 279 nt
Organism: Labeo rohita (rohu)
Lineage: Eukaryota; Metazoa; Chordata; Actinopteri; Cypriniformes; Cyprinidae
Exons: 3
Source: RefSeq, a predicted model, not a curated record
CUAACAUCAUCAGUCCUGUAAGAGGAUCCAGAGUUUAAUUCCAGUUUAUUUAGACUGUUGACGUAUGACAACCAUGUAAUAUCACCAUCAUCUGAUGUGCAGCAUUGUCAGUGGAUCUACAGUCUGAUUCCAAUAAAGUGUAUUUAUUAUUUCAGUGCUGACUGUCAAGACUUGGUGUGACCAUGACACAAUUCAACAUCACCAACUCUGUGUACUCUAGAGCGGAACAUGCAGAAUCAGUAUUUAUCUGGAUUUUAUGUACCAUUGAGAUUCCAGUCG